This 226-nucleotide ribosomal RNA is filed under the name uncultured bacterium. RNAcentral's name for it is "partial 16S ribosomal RNA". It matches the Rfam family "Bacterial small subunit ribosomal RNA", at positions 538 to 762 of the family's 1533-position model. The record is from RNAcentral.
ACGUUAUUCGGAAUCACUGGGCUUAAAGCGCGUGUAGGCGGGUCGCCACGUCGGUCGCUGAAAUCCCCCGGCUCAACCGGGGAAGUGGCGCCGAUACGAGCGACCUGGAGGGAGGUAGGGGGGGCUGGAACUUCCGGUGGAGCGGUGAAAUGCGUUGAGAUCGGAAGGAACGCCCGUGGCGAAAGCGAGCCCCUGGACCUUUUCUGACGCUGAGACGCGAAAGCUA